AAAACAAAAAAGAAAUGGAUGAGACCAAAACAGGGAUGUCCUAACAUGUGUCUACUACCAGCAUAUCAAAUUUCAUGACUAUCAAAUACCAUAUGAGCAUUUCCCAAUCAAUCUACCAACCUAGGUCACAUGAGCUUGCAAAUUCAACCACCAGAAAGGAAAAUUCACAAUCAAUUUGAAAAUGCAGUGUAAAAUUCCACAAAAAUUCUCAUAGCUUC
RNAcentral lists this long non-coding RNA (218 nucleotides) under Lathyrus oleraceus (garden pea). RNAcentral describes it as "Pisum sativum (pea) long non-coding RNA (PSAT_LNC012201)". Lineage: Eukaryota; Viridiplantae; Streptophyta; Magnoliopsida; Fabales; Fabaceae. The record is from RNAcentral.